Molecule: long non-coding RNA, 704 nt
Organism: Rhopalosiphum maidis (corn leaf aphid)
Lineage: Eukaryota; Metazoa; Arthropoda; Insecta; Hemiptera; Aphididae
Exons: 5
Source: RefSeq, a predicted model, not a curated record
AAAUAAAUAUGUCUUAUUGAAUCUGUAUCUUACUUAAAUAAAUCAGCAUAGGUGUAAUAGUGUAGCAAAUAAGGUGAUUUAUUUACAUUAUUAUAUUGUGUUUCCAACUACGGUGGCUAGAAACACAACAAUUAGUUCUAUCUAUACCGUGACUGUUGAGGUAUUUAUAUAUCUGUACGUCCAUAACAAAGAGCACAGAUGUCAUAGUCCUCGUGGAUUACACUUCAUAUUUUAAUUUAUUCUGUAGCAGUUCAAAAGUAACAACUGUAACUAUUCAUCGUAGUCGUAACUCACAAUCGCAAGCAAUAUGUGAUGGCUCUUCUUGUGGAUCCAGUUGUGAAAUGACAAGGAUAAUAAAAUUGGUGCUUCAUAUUCAGAUUCUGACGAGAAACAGUUCAAUUUGAAAAAGACAAAAGAAAUAAUAAUACAGGAAACUUGUAGACUGGACAAAACAGAGGAGAAAGUACACUUAUCAAAAAUAUAUCUCAACCAAAAGGUAUGAAUUAAUAACAAGUCUAAAAUGUUCAGGAUUCUGCCAAUAAAGAAGAGCUACAAAAUAAAUUGCUUGAUUUACAAAUCAACCAUCAAACAAAAAAAUAUUGAUGAAUUAAGUCUUAAUCACAAUGAUAUUGUCAAUCUACUUAUAACGAUACCAGAAAAAAAAUAUUAAAACUUUAAAUAAAUUGUGAAGAUCAAAUAAUUUC